UUAUUGAAUAUUUUUUGGGCAUGAUGGUAACACGCUUAGCGUGGAUGGCACACAAGUUGGUGUCUUCAAACAAACCAACGAGGUAAGCCUCAGAGGCCUCCUGAAGGGCCAUUAUGGCGGAAGACUGGAAACGCAAGUCAGUCUUAAAGUCCUGGGCGAUUUCACGCACAAGACGCUGGAAAGGCAGUUUGCGGAUGAGAAGCUCAGUGCUCUUCUGGUAACGACGGAUCUCACGGAGAGCGACAGUACCAGGCCUGUACCUGUGAGGCUUCUUCACUCCACCGGUGGCAGGGGCUGAUUUGCGAGCUGCCUUGGUGGCCAGCUGCUUGCGAGGGGCCUUUCCUCCAGUGGAUUUACGGGCGGUCUGCUUGGAAAAAAACCAAAAAAGAUGUUGAUACAAAAUAGGAUCUCCCCCACCCCUAGGAUCAAAAAAAGAAGUAUUAAUAUUACGAUCUGUUAACAAUAUAGUAAUUGCACCUGCAAGAACAGGUAAAGAUAAAAGAAGCAAAAUAGCAGUAAUAAAAACAGAUCAAACAAAUAAAGGCACCUGAUCCAUUUGUAUACCAUAAGCACGUAUAUUAAUAAUAGUAGAAAUAAAAUUAAUUGCACCCAAUCUGAGCGGUUUCACGGUCUUUUGACUCUCUCUUCAGAGUGCUUUUCAACUUUCCCUCACGGUACUUGUUUGCUAUCGGUCCUGUGGAAAUAUUUAGCCUUAGAUCGAGUUUACGACCUGCUUAGCGCUGCAUGCUCAAGCAACGCGACUCUCAGGGAAGAGAUCGAGCCCAUAUAACAUUGACACGCGCCCACACGGGUCUUACACCCUCCAUGGACUAUCUCCCGCCGUUAGUUGGGAUGGCCAAUUCGUGGCUUACUUAGAGUUCGCGUGGUUAUAGGGUUUGAAUACGAUCUUUCCCUUUACGACAGUUCCGCCUAUCGAUAAGAUUCCGCCCUAGUUCUAACCCUAAACGAUGCCAACCAUCAAUCCGCGUGUAGCACCUUUCUUAACGGGCUCGGCGGGCAGCUCCUUACUUACGGGAAACCAGAGUCUCUGGGUUCCGGGGGGAGUCUGGUUGCAAAGCUGAAACUUAAAGGAAUUGACGGAAAGGCACCACCAGGCGUGGAGCCUGCGGCUUAAUUUGACUCAACACGGGCCAUCUCACCAGGCCAGCACUCUUGUACGAUUGACAGAUUGAGAGCUCUUUCUCGAUUUAGUGGAUGGUGGUGCAUGGCCGUUCUUAGUUGGUGGAGUGAUCUGUCUGGUUAAUUCCGAUACGUAACGAGACAG
RNAcentral lists this ribosomal RNA (1285 nucleotides) under Hirondellea gigas. Its description in RNAcentral is "partial small subunit ribosomal RNA". The stretch from base 870 to 1285 matches the Rfam family "Eukaryotic small subunit ribosomal RNA", at positions 1 to 1343 of the family's 1831-position model. The record is from RNAcentral. Lineage: Eukaryota; Metazoa; Arthropoda; Malacostraca; Amphipoda; Lysianassidae.